Molecule: ribosomal RNA, 617 nt
Filed under: uncultured bacterium
Lineage: Bacteria
Description: bacterial SSU rRNA
Rfam family: Bacterial small subunit ribosomal RNA
Source: RNAcentral
GAUGAACGCUGGCGGCGUGCCUAACACAUGCAAGUCCAACGGACUCAUUAUUGUGAAGCCUUCAGGUGGAUUAAUAAUAACUUAAAGCCGUACCGGUGACUAACACGUGGGUAACCUGCCUCACACAAGGGGAUAACACCUGGAAACGGCUGCUAAAACCCCAUAAACAUACGCUGUUCCACGACGGAGUGUGAAAAUAUUUAUAGGUGUGAGAUGGGCCCGCGUCUGAUUACCUGGUUGGUAAGGUAACGGCUUACCGCGAGCACGAUCCGUAGCCGGGUUGAGAAAACGAUCCGCCACCUUGUACCUGAGACUGGAGCCAAACUCCUACGGGAGGAAGCACUGGCGAAUAUUGCACGAUGGGACAAAGCCUGAUACUGCCUCCCGGCGGGAGUCACCAGUAUUUCGGUAUGUAGAGCUCUAUCAGCACGGAACAAAAAGACGGUACCUGCCUAAUAUCCCGCCGCUAACUACGUGCCGACAACCCUUGUGAUACUUAUGGGGCAUCCGUUUUUCUUGAUUUUCUGUGUGUAAAGAUCGCCUAGGCGGCUGGUUAAAUCAAUGGGAAAAACCGGGGGAUCAACCCCCGAUCUGGAUUUGAUACUGCGGAGUUAGAG